RNAcentral lists this transfer RNA (73 nucleotides) under Ixodes scapularis (black-legged tick). It matches the Rfam family "tRNA". From Rfam's summary of the family: Transfer RNA (tRNA) molecules are approximately 80 nucleotides in length. Their secondary structure includes four short double-helical elements and three loops (D, anti-codon, and T loops). Lineage: Eukaryota; Metazoa; Arthropoda; Arachnida; Ixodida; Ixodidae. The record is from Rfam by way of RNAcentral.
UCCUGGUUAGCUCAGUUGGGAGAGCGCGUUACUGGAAAUGGGGAGGUCCCGGGUUCGAUACCCGGACCAGGGG